RNAcentral lists this transfer-messenger RNA (356 nucleotides) under Opitutaceae. RNAcentral's name for it is "EW11 sp003054665 Standard tmRNA". It matches the Rfam family "transfer-messenger RNA". From Rfam's summary of the family: Bacterial tmRNA, also known as 10Sa RNA or SsrA, is named for its dual tRNA and mRNA-like properties. Its role is to liberate the mRNA from a stalled ribosome. To accomplish this part of the tmRNA is used as a reading frame that ends in a translation stop signal. RNAcentral also lists the same sequence under 1 other name. Lineage: Bacteria; Pseudomonadati; Verrucomicrobiota; Opitutia; Opitutales. The record is from RNAcentral.
GGGGGUGUUCUGGAUUCGACCCUUGGUUGGAGCGCGCCGUUGCCGUUCGAGGAUGAAGGUUGGCCUCGUUAAUCGUCCUUCAAAAAAAUAACAGGCACAUACGAAGAAAUGCCCUUGGCUGCUUAAAUUAGUAGCCUCGUUUGCCCAGCGACACCUGCUAGCUGGAGCGAACGUCGACAGCAGGCAUAGUGUGCGGAGCGACUCGCGGUUUGCACACCGUACCUUCACCCGGGAGUUGGCCCGAAACUAAGCGCGUGGGAUCGCGUGGUUCGGGCGAGACUAAAAUCUCACUACAACGGUAGACGCGGCGAGUGAAGGUCAGGGGCACGCGGGUUCAACUCCCGCCACCUCCACCA